UGCUUUAUUAAAAUAAAAAUAAAUCAGUUAAAUCACGCAAGCGCUAGAACUUCAUAAAAUUUUUAAGUAACGCAUUUUUAAUGAAGUUUUUUUUCAAUUACUAAUCAAGUCUUUUUACAACAACUAAUAGACACGUUCCAUCUAAUUUUUAUUUUUGUUAUCAAUUGAAAAUUGUGUUAAUAUUGAUACAGGAAAACCUGUUAAUGAUCAUGGAACAAUUAUCCUGAUAAUUCUUUGAAUUCAAUGUCUUUACUCGACAACAUUAUGCUAUUUUAUAAUGGAACCAGUACAUUAGUUAAUGAUCUUCUUGAAAUAUUGCCAAAUCAAGGUUUGGAACUUCCCAAAGAUUCAAGGAGAAUUUUAAAAGCACCUUAUGAAAAGCAACUUAUAGACAGGAGCGUCAACCAUCAAGUGUCAGUUGAUACAUAUGUUUUGGUCAAAUACAUGUUUGUAU
Molecule: long non-coding RNA, 454 nt
Organism: Hydra vulgaris (swiftwater hydra)
Lineage: Eukaryota; Metazoa; Cnidaria; Hydrozoa; Anthoathecata; Hydridae
Source: RefSeq, a predicted model, not a curated record